This 496-nucleotide ribosomal RNA is filed under the name uncultured bacterium. RNAcentral describes it as "partial 16S ribosomal RNA". It matches the Rfam family "Bacterial small subunit ribosomal RNA", at positions 28 to 506 of the family's 1533-position model. The record is from RNAcentral.
GAUGAACGCUGGCGGCGUGCCUAAUACAUGCAAGUCGAGCGAACAGACGAGGAGCUUGCUCCUCUGACGUUAGCGGCGGACGGGUGAGUAACACGUGGAUAACCUACCUAUAAGACUGGGAUAACUUCGGGAAACCGGAGCUAAUACCGGAUAAUAUAUUGAACCGCAUGGUUCAAUAGUGAAAGACGGUUUUGCUGUCACUUAUAGAUGGAUCCGCGCCGCAUUAGCUAGUUGGUAAGGUAACGGCUUACCAAGGCAACGAUGCGUAGCCGACCUGAGAGGGUGAUCGGCCACACUAGAACUGAGACACGGUCCAGACUCCUACGGGAGGCAGCAGUAGGGAAUCUUCCGCAAUGGGCGAAAGCCUGACGGAGCAACGCCGCGUGAGUGAUGAAGGUCUUCGGAUCGUAAAACUCUGUUAUUAGGGAAGAACAAAUGUGUAAGUAACUAUGCACGUCUUGACGGUACCUAAGCAGAAAGCCACGGCUAACUACGU